Molecule: ribosomal RNA, 403 nt
Filed under: bacterium
Lineage: Bacteria
Also listed under: 1 other name
Description: partial 16S ribosomal RNA
Rfam family: Bacterial small subunit ribosomal RNA
Source: RNAcentral
UGGGGAAUAUUGCACAAUGGAGGGAACUCUGAUGCAGCGACGCCGCGUGAACGAAGAAGGCUUUCGAGUCGUAAAGUUCUUUUAUAUGGGAAGAUAAUGACGGUACCAUAAGAAAAAGCCCCGGCUAACUACGUGCCAGCAGCCGCGGUAAUACGUAGGGGGCUAGCGUUGUCCGGAAUCACUGGGCGUAAAGGGUUCGCAGGCGGAAAUGCAAGUCAGGUGUAAAAGGCAGUAGCUUAACUACUGUAAGCAUUUGAAACUGCAUAUCUUGAGAAGAGUAGAGGUAAGUGGAAUUUUUAGUGUAGCUGUGAAAUGCGUAGAUAUUAAAAAGAAUACCGGUGGCGAAGGCGACUUACUGGGCUCAUUCUGACGCUGAGGAACGAAAGCGUGGGUAGCAAACAGG